RNAcentral lists this long non-coding RNA (926 nucleotides) under Scleropages formosus (Asian bonytongue). RNAcentral describes it as "lncRNA (ENSSFOG00015030313.1)". Lineage: Eukaryota; Metazoa; Chordata; Actinopteri; Osteoglossiformes; Osteoglossidae. The record is from RNAcentral.
AUGAGAUGAAAUGUAACGUUAGGAGAAUGAAUGUGCUGCCAAAAAUCUGCAGAAACUAUGUAAUAGUGACGAGCUGUCAAGGACCAAGAACCCUGUGGUCUCAAGUGAUACUGGCUAGGCAUACCUAAUAAAGUGGCUGUAUGUGUAUUUCUCUCUUUUUUUUUUUUUUCCUGCUUACUAUUCGUAAUGGAUGUCACUGGGUCAAGGACACACACAAUGAGAAAUAAUUCAUUUUAAAGUGAUUGUGUUCACAUAUAAUCUGAAUCAGAAUCCCGAAAUGUAAUCCACAUGUCAAGGAAGCUUUGCAGUUGCCUUUCAGGAAGCACAAUGGCUGCCAGCCGGCGACAGAUGCAUACAAGGGAAGAUUUGCUGUGCUCGGGCUUUUCCGAGACGGCCAGCCGUGGCCUGUCAAAGCUGCCCUCUUCGAUAAAGGAUGGACCGUGCUUGGACGUCGUAACGUUGUUUUUAGGUAGCAGUUUUGAACGGCAGCCAGCGGACCAAAGUCGCAUCACUGUCAGUGAGACAAUCUCCUUCAGAUGUCCCGCUGAGGAAGCACGUGGGUGUCCGCUGAAGGGUACAACGUGGACAGGGUGCCAGUCCGUGCCCAGGACGAGACGUCGGUCCGUUGCAAGGCAGCCCCAGGAAGGCUCGAAUCCCAGACCCGCCACACAGCGGGCACCGGUUGAACCUGCCAUGCCACCACACUUGUCCCUCCCCCCACUAAAGCAAAAGUCAACUCAAUUUAUUGCCAUGAAGCACUUCUCUCAGCUUGCUGAGUAACUGUGUGUUGAACAAUAGAGCAUGGAUUGUUGACACAUUACUGACAAAAAAAUAGACAAACUAAACACAGAAUCCAGUAUACAAACACACUGCAAUGCACCAUCUGGCAACUGAGGAGAGGAAAAUAAAAAAAAAACAACCUGGCA